AGUGAACGCUGGCGGUAGGCCUAACACAUGCAAGUAGAACGGCAGCACAGUAAGAGCUUGCUCUUACGGGUGGCGAGUGGCGGACGGGUGAGGAAUACAUCGGAAUCUACUUUUUCGUGGGGGAUAACGUAGGGAAACUUACGCUAAUACCGCAUACGACCUACGGGUGAAAGCAGGGGAUCUUCGGACCUUGCGCGAUUGAAUGAGCCGAUGUCGGAUUAGCUAGUUGGCGGGGUAAAGGCCCACCAAGGCGACGAUCCGUAGCUGGUCUGAGGGGAUGAUCAGCCACACUGGAACUGAGACACGGUCCAGACUCCUACGGGAGGCAGCAGUGGGGAAUAUUGGACAAUGGGCGCAAGCCUGAUCCAGCCAUACCGCGUGGGUGAAGAAGGCCUUCGGGUUGUAAAGCCCUUUUGUUGGGAAAGAAAAGCAGCAGGUUAAUACCCCGCUGUUCUGACGGUACCCAAAGAAUAAGCACCGGCUAACUUCGUG
RNAcentral lists this ribosomal RNA (492 nucleotides) under uncultured bacterium. Its description in RNAcentral is "partial 16S ribosomal RNA". It matches the Rfam family "Bacterial small subunit ribosomal RNA", at positions 29 to 507 of the family's 1533-position model. The record is from RNAcentral.